Dermochelys coriacea (leatherback sea turtle) is the source of this 109-nucleotide long non-coding RNA. RefSeq lists it as uncharacterized. The transcript is spliced from 2 exons. The record is from RefSeq and is a predicted model, not a curated record. NCBI's taxonomy places the organism in Eukaryota, Metazoa, Chordata, Testudines, Dermochelyidae.
UCCCAACCCGGGCUCCCGGACCUUGAAGGGGGAGAAGGCACCUCUGCUGCAAGUGUUUCAAUGCUGCCACUAGCAUCUCUGUCCCAGAGGUUAGCGCAGAUAAGAAAGC